Molecule: ribosomal RNA, 5068 nt
Filed under: Triticum aestivum (bread wheat)
Lineage: Eukaryota; Viridiplantae; Streptophyta; Magnoliopsida; Poales; Poaceae
Description: partial small subunit ribosomal RNA
Source: RNAcentral
AUUCAUCCCCCCAGCCAGCCCACUCGUCUCUUUUCCUGCUCCCGCUCUCCCGCUCUCAUCAUCGCGGCCCGAGCCGCUCCGCGCGCAUGGCAUUCGCUGCACACCACCAACUGCCGCACUAACGCGCAUGCGCAGAGCAGACCGAGGUUUCAGCGGCCGGACAGGCUCGCUGCCCAGCCAGCUCCGACACCCGGCCCUCGUUCGACCGCGCGCCGCGCGGAUUAACGGAAGGUGAUCGAUCGAGCUUGGAGCGCGAUGGAGAAGGUGUGGGACUCGGGGCGGCGGAUGAGCCGGAGCAUCGGGCGGGGGAUGGGGGUGGAGACGUGGGGCGUGGACGAGGCCUUCCUGCACGGCAGCGGCGGCGGGAGCAGGCGCGGGAGCAGGGGCCACGCCGACGACGACGAGGAGGCGCUGCGGUGGGCGGCCAUCGAGCGGCUCCCCACCUACAGCCGCAUGAGGACGUCCAUACUCCAGGCCGAGGCGGACGCCGCGUCAGCCGCCUCGCCAACGAACGGGGCGGCGGAAGAAGGCAAGCAGCAGCAGCAGUACAAGGAGGUGGACGUGCGGAAGCUGGCCGUGGGCGAGCGGCAGGAGUUCAUCGAGCGCGUCUUCCGCGUCGCCGAGGAGGACAACCGGCGCUUCCUCCGAAAGCUCCGCGACCGCAUCGACAGGGUGGGCAUCGAGCUCCCGACGGUGGAGGUGCGGUUCGAGCGGCUGACGGUGCAGGCGCGGUGCCACGUGGGCAGCCGCGCGCUGCCGACGCUGCUCAACAGUGCGCGCAACAUCGCCGAGGGCGCGCUGGGGCUCCUCGGCGUGCGGCUGGGCCGGCAGGCGACGCUCACCAUCCUCAAGGACGUCUCCGGCGCCGUCCGGCCGUCGAGGAUGACGCUGCUGCUGGGCCCGCCGUCGUCGGGGAAGACCACCCUGCUGCUGGCCCUGGCCGGCAAGCUGGACCCGUCGCUGAGGUGCGCCGGCGAGGUGGCCUACAACGGGUUCCCGCUGGACGAGUUCGUGCCGCAGAAGACGGCGGCGUACAUCAGCCAGACGGACGUGCACGUCGGCGAGAUGACCGUCAAGGAGACGCUCGACUUCUCGGCCAGGUGCCAGGGCGUCGGCACCAAGUACGAUCUCCUGACCGAGCUGGCGAGGAGGGAGAAGGAGGCCGGCAUCCGUCCGGAGCCGGAGGUUGACCUUUUUAUGAAGGCCACUUCCAUGGAAGGAGUCGAGAGCAGCCUCCAGACGGACUACACGCUCAGGAUACUGGGGCUGGACAUAUGCGCGGACACCAUCGUCGGCGACCAGAUGCAGAGGGGCAUAUCCGGCGGCCAGAAGAAGCGCGUCACCACCGGAGAGAUGAUUGUCGGUCCGACAAAGGUGCUAUUCAUGGAUGAGAUAUCGACUGGGCUGGACAGCUCCACCACUUUCCAGAUUGUCAAAUGUCUGCAGCAGAUUGUGCACUUGGGCGAGGCCACCAUCCUCAUGUCCCUCCUCCAGCCAGCCCCUGAGACCUUUGAACUCUUCGAUGACAUCAUCCUCCUGUCAGAAGGCCAGAUUGUUUAUCAGGGACCCCGCGAUUAUGUCCUUGAAUUCUUUGAGUCCUGCGGCUUUCGCUGCCCAGAGCGCAAGGGUACUGCAGACUUUCUUCAAGAGGUGACAUCAAAAAAGGAUCAGGAGCAGUACUGGGCUGAUAAGCAGAGGCCAUACCGAUAUAUUUCAGUCUCAGAAUUUGCGCAGACGUUUAAACGGUUUCAUGUUGGUCUACAACUCGAGAACCAUCUCUCGGUGCCAUUUGACAAGAGCCGCAGCCAUCAGGCUGCCCUGGUCUUCUCCAAGCACUCGGUGUCAACUCGAGAGCUCCUCAAGGCAUCCUUUGACAAGGAGUGGCUCCUCAUAAAGCGCAAUUCAUUUGUAUACAUCUUCAAGACCAUACAGCUCAUUAUUGUAGCCCUUAUCGCGUCAACAGUCUUUCUAAGGACCCAGAUGCACACAAGGAAUCUGGAUGAUGGUUUUGUCUACGUGGGAGCACUGCUUUUUACUCUGAUUGUGAACAUGUUCAAUGGUUUUGCCGAGCUCCCUUUGACCAUCACAAGGUUGCCGGUGUUCUUCAAGCACCGGGACCUCCUCUUCUACCCUGCUUGGAUAUUCACACUACCGAAUGUCGUUCUCCGAAUCCCAUUUUCAAUUAUUGAAUCCAUAGUCUGGGUGGUUGUCACAUACUACACUAUGGGAUUUGCCCCAGAAGCUGACAGAUUCUUCAAGCAGUUGCUGCUCGUGUUCUUGAUCCAGCAGAUGGCCGGUGGGCUUUUCAGAGCAAUUGCUGGCCUGUGUAGAUCCAUGAUCAUUGCUCAAACUGGAGGAGCCCUGUUCCUUCUCAUCUUCUUUGUCCUUGGAGGCUUUCUUCUGCCAAAAGACUUCAUCCCAAAAUGGUGGAUCUGGGGCUAUUGGAUUUCACCGCUGGUGUAUGGAUAUAAUGCUCUAGCAGUGAAUGAAUUCUAUUCUCCUCGGUGGAUGGACAAGUUUGUAAUGGACAAGAAUGGUGUUCCUAAAAGACUAGGUAUGGCUAUGCUAGAAGGCGCCAACAUUUUUACUGACAAAAACUGGUUCUGGAUUGGAGCAGCAGGGCUGUUAGGUUUCACAAUCUUCUUCAAUGUGCUCUUUACUUUGUGCCUCACGUAUCUGAAUCCCUUGGGCAAACCACAAGCUGUUAUAUCUGAAGAAACUGCAAAGGAAGCAGAAGACAAUGGGCUUCCGAGAGAGACAGUAAGCAAUGGCAGCACAAGAAGAAAUGGCAGCAUGAAAUCGAAGGAUGGGUCCAAUAACAAGGAAAUGAGAGAGACGAGACUGAGUGCUCGUUUGAGCAAUAGUUCAUCAAAUGGAAUUUCUAAUGGGAUUUCACGAGUCAUGUCCGUUGGCAGCAAUGAAGCUGCUCCAAGAAGAGGAAUGGUUCUUCCAUUCUCCCCUCUAUCUAUGUGUUUUGAUGAUGUGAACUACUAUGUCGACAUGCCUGCAGAAAUGAAACAGCAAGGAGUGACUGAUGAUAGGCUCCAAUUAUUACGUGAUGUUACUGGAUCAUUUAGGCCUGGAGUGCUAACAGCACUCAUGGGAGUCAGUGGAGCAGGAAAGACCACUCUUAUGGAUGUUUUAGCUGGAAGAAAGACUGGUGGUUACAUUGAAGGAGAUAUCAGAAUUUCUGGUUAUCCGAAGAACCAAGCAACAUUUGCAAGGAUUUCUGGCUAUUGUGAGCAAAAUGAUAUCCAUUCACCUCAGGUCACGAUUAGGGAAUCUCUGAUAUACUCCGCCUUCCUGCGUCUUCCUGAAAAGAUCGGAGAUCAAGAUAUCACUGAUGAAAUCAAGAUUCAAUUUGUUGAUGAAGUUAUGGAGUUAGUGGAGCUCGACAGUCUGAAGGAUGCUUUAGUUGGACUGCCAGGAAUUUCAGGUCUUUCAACAGAGCAAAGAAAGAGGUUAACAAUAGCUGUGGAGCUUGUCGCAAAUCCAUCGAUCAUCUUCAUGGAUGAACCGACAUCAGGUCUUGAUGCAAGAGCAGCAGCAAUUGUCAUGAGAACAGUGAGGAACACCGUUGACACUGGACGGACUGUGGUUUGCACAAUCCACCAGCCAAGCAUUGACAUCUUUGAAGCUUUUGAUGAGUUACUAUUACUGAAAAGAGGAGGCCAGGUAAUAUACUCUGGGAAACUGGGUCGCAACUCACAGAAAAUGAUUGAAUACUUCGAGGCGAUUCCUGGAGUGCCUAAAAUCAAAGAUAAGUACAACCCUGCAACGUGGAUGCUUGAGGUCAGUUCAGUUGCUGCAGAAGUACGCCUGAGUAUGGAUUUUGCUGACUACUACAGGACUUCAGAUCUGUACAAGCAAAACAAGGUAUUGGUGAGCCAGCUAAGUCAACCAGAACCAGGAACAUCAGAUCUAUAUUUUCCUACAGAAUACUCGCAAUCCAUUAUAGGGCAGUUCAAAGCCUGCCUCUGGAAGCAUUGGCUGACCUAUUGGCGCAGUCCAGAUUACAACCUUGUCAGAUUUUCCUUCACUUUGUUCACAGCCUUGCUGCUUGGCUCCAUCUUUUGGAAGAUUGGCACCAAUAUGGGAGAUGCCAAUACUCUUAGAAUGGUCAUUGGAGCAAUGUACACAGCAGUGAUGUUUGUCGGCAUCAACAACUGUGCAACCGUUCAACCAAUUGUUUCCAUCGAGAGAACAGUUUUCUACCGAGAGAGGGCUGCUGGGAUGUACUCUGCACUGCCAUAUGCCAUUGCUCAGGUUGUCAUGGAGAUACCCUAUGUCUUCGUCCAAACCUCGUAUUACACCCUCAUCGUAUACGCCAUGAUGAGCUUCCAGUGGACAGCUGCCAAGUUCUUCUGGUUCUUCUUCGUCUCCUACUUUUCCUUCCUCUACUUCACCUACUACGGGAUGAUGACUGUAUCAAUCUCACCGAACCAUGAGGUUGCGGGCAUCUUUGCCGCAGCUUUCUAUUCCCUAUUCAACCUUUUCUCUGGCUUCUUCAUCCCAAGACCGAAAAUCCCCAAGUGGUGGAUCUGGUACUACUGGAUUUGCCCAUUGGCAUGGACAGUGUAUGGGCUCAUAGUUACACAAUACGGAGACAUGGAAGACACCAUCACCGUCCCAGGCCAACCUAACCAGACAAUCAGCUACUACAUAACUCAUCAUUUUGGAUACCACAGGAGCUUCAUGGCGGUCGUUGCACCAGUGCUUGUGCUCUUUGCAGUGUUCUUCGCUUUCAUGUAUGCUCUCUGCCUCAAGAAGUUGAACUUCCAAACACGGUAGGAGCAGAAAGCCAACAGACAAGAUCUCGCAGGCGAUAUGGUCGAUUUUUCUUGAACCAACUCUUCUUUUGUCCUUCCAUUUUUGGGUCUAUUUAUGCAGUGCCAGUGUAAAUACAGGUGUAGUUUUUUGUAUUCCUUACAUAGUCAAAUGCGAUGAGGGUGCACCAGCCUUUCAGGCUUGGAAGUGUAUUGAAUUGCAAAUUUGCAAGACUGUGCGAUGAGCAGAAUUUGUUCAUGGCCUAUAAAUACGUUGGAGUUUUUUCUUUCACAAAGUUCAC